UCCAUUGAUUCUUUAGAACCUAUUACCACUUUAUUUUAUUCGGACAUGGAGUCGAAGGAAGUUUAGUAAUUACUUCACAA
Molecule: transfer RNA, 80 nt
Filed under: Lycoris squamigera (surprise lily)
Lineage: Eukaryota; Viridiplantae; Streptophyta; Magnoliopsida; Asparagales; Amaryllidaceae
Also listed under: 19 other names
Description: tRNA-Gly
Source: RNAcentral